UGCAGUACAGCCGGGUCAGCUCUGUGGGCUUCAACCCGCUGAGGUCCAGUUUAUCAGAACCGCGGGGGAAAUGUGCCACAACUUCCGCCUCCGACAUUACUGCGAGUGUGAUCCUGAAAUCAGCAGGGAAAACCCUGAAAAGAAAACUUGAGAAGAACCGGACUCAAAUGUGAACCUCUUCUGGUUGAGACACAUCUGGAUUAUCAUUCGGUUGGGGUCAGAGCGCAGGGUCAGCCAUGAUACAGCGCCCCCUGGAGCAGAGAGGGUUAAGGGCCUUGCCCAAGGGCCCAACAGUGGCAGCGUGGCGGUGCUGAGGCUUGAACCUCCGACCUUCUGCUCAGUAACCCAGAGCCUUAACCGCAGAGCCACCACUGUUACAUUUAUUGAAAUUGUGGCCUCAGAUUCACGUUCCUGGCUGGCAGGAGCUGAAUCCGAUGUGGAUUUCUGCUCCUGUAGUCCAUCCGCCUAAAGGUUUGACACGUGCAUUCUGCGAUGCUUUUCUGCUCACCGUGGUUGUAAAGAGCAGGUAUCCGAGUUACUAUAGCCUUCCUGUCAAGUCGAACCUGCAUUAUACUGCUGCCACAUCAUUGGCUGUUUGGACAGGUGUUUCUCAUGAAGUGAGAGUAUGUGUAUAAGAGUCCUGCGAUGAACACAGACCAGGCUUUAUAAUUACAGCAGAAAUGAACAGUAUACAAGUGACAUUAUCCUCUUCUGAAGCAAACUAGUGUCUUGAGAACAACUUGUUUUUGGUAAGCGCAAAAAUUUAUCCGCGAGACGUACAGUAGGUUGUCGGCCCUUCGACCGGCUCCUUCACGCGAACCUUGCAUGUAUAAGUCAUUUGGGUUUCUUCUUUUCCCUUUGUUGUAGAUGUAGGCAAUGACAUUACUUUUGUUGAGCAAUCGAAUAAAAAAAAAAAAAAAAAAAAACUUCUAUGGAAAACUCGUUUCAACAUCCGAGCUGUUUUUUAGUGUGUGUCCGACUCUGUUGUUCGUGUGUUCAUGAGGCAGCUUGAUAGGGAAU
Long non-coding RNA from Ictalurus punctatus (channel catfish), 1020 nucleotides. RefSeq lists it as uncharacterized. NCBI's taxonomy places the organism in Eukaryota, Metazoa, Chordata, Actinopteri, Siluriformes, Ictaluridae. The record is from RefSeq and is a predicted model, not a curated record. The transcript has 3 exons.